GACACUAAGUGAAACCCGUAAUUCUCCUAAUUCCUUAGUGUCGGGAUGUGUGAGUCACCAGUCGUCUCCUUUCUUUCUUCCUUCCUCCCUAACCCCUUUUCCUUGGUUUCCAGCCUAAAGCCAAUAAACUCAAACGCCUCGCGUGCUCUCUCUUUCUUCUCUUUCCAGGGGGAGAGGGAAUUUUGAGGCUUUCUCACCUUCUACUUGAUACUUUUCUUCUCCGAUUCAUCAAACCGAAACCCUUUUUUAAUACUUUGUCAUGCACCGCUAACACAAGCAAUCAAUCUUUUCCAGAGAAGACCCUUUUGAACUUCUUGGGUUUUUGACCGUUUUAGUCUACUGAAUUUGGUUUUAGUGAUCAGGAUUUAGGGACAGGGAUAUGAAGGGUGAGGAUCAAUCGAGGUCUCUGUUCGGAAUUUCUCUAUCUGAUCGACCUAAAUGGCAGCAAUUCCUUAUUUGUUCUUCUGGGUUCUUCUUUGGUUAUCUCGUUAAUGGCAUUUGCGAGGUUGUGUUGAUUCAAUGGCAUUCUGAGGCUCAUUGUCGUGCUAAAAAGAGGAUGUUCUUUUCUUGUUCUUUGUGCACUGUUUUAUUGUUUUUGAAUUCUUCUUUUGACCUCAAUUUUUAUGAAUAUUCAUAAAUUUGAUAAUUCUUCACUGGUUAAUUUCAGGAAUAUGUGUAUAAUCGGCUUCAGUUCAGCUAUGGCUGGUAUUUCACUUUUGUGCAAGGAUUUGUGUACCUGGUACUAAUAUGCUUUCAGGGUUUCACCACUAAGCAAAUGGUGAACCCAUGGAAAACGUAUGUGAAACUCUCUGCCGUUCUUAUGGGUUCUCAUGGAUUGACCAAGGGUUCCUUGGCCUUCCUUAACUAUCCAGCCCAAAUCAUGUUCAAAUCAACCAAGGUGCUUCCUGUCAUGGUAAUGGGUGCCUUUAUUCCGGGCUUGAGGAGGAAAUAUUCAUUUCAUGAAUACAUCUCUGCUCUGCUUCUAGUUAUUGGUCUGAUCCUUUUCACCUUAGCAGAUGCCCAAACUUCUCCAAAUUUUAGCAUAAUUGGCGUUCUAAUGAUCUGUGGGGCUUUAGUUAUGGAUUCUUUAAUGGGGAACUUGCAAGAAGCAAUUUUUACGAUGAAUCCUGACACAAAACAGAUUGAGGUGCUAUUCUGCUCAACAGUAGUAGGAUUGCCUUUCUUGCUUCCACCAAUGAUAUUGACAGGAGAGCUGUUUAAGGCUUGGAAUUCUUGUUCCCAACAUCCUUAUGUGUAUGGAGUGCUAGUAUUUGAAGCAAUGGCCACAUUCAUUGGGCAAGUGUCUGUUUUAUCCCUUAUUGCUAUUUUUGGGGCUGCUGCCACUGCCAUGGUAUGUGUAUUUUUAGCCUCCUAUAUAUAUAUUUUUUUGUUGCGUUUUGCUCUAUAAUUUUAAAUUUAUUGUCUACUAGUUUAAUACCCCACUCAAGGGACUAGUGGGUUGAUCUACUGCUUGUUAGAUGGGUUUGAAAUGGGGGCAUUGAGUUUUUUGGGAGAAAAUCUCCAGUACAUUAUUACAUCCAUGGACCUUGUUACAGAAUCUGUUGAUUUUUGCGCAUCCAUGGUCUGUGGACCACUGAAAUAGUAAUGGUGGACAUAUACCUGUACAACCCAGCGUCUUUCUUUUAUAGUGUUGGGCAUGAGAGCAAUUACUGAGUAUAUAUCGUCUAAUUUUCUGAUACUUUGCUCUCAAUUUGUGAUGUCUGAUAUUUUUUUCAACUUUUCAAUAUUAUGGGACUUGAAACAUUCAAUCAUCAUCAGAAAAAAGGUAGUAUAAAUUCUGUCUGUUGAAAUUCAAGUGCUGGAUUGCACAAUUGCCACAGAUAUAUCUAACAGCUGAGUUUGAUUUCUACGUUGAUGCAGAUAACAACAGCUAGAAAGGCAGUCACCUUGUUACUGUCAUACAUGAUAUUUACGAAGCCAUUAACGGAGCAGCAUGGGACAGGGCUACUGCUCAUAGCCAUGGGAAUAAUAUUGAAGAUGUUGCCAGAUAACAAACCACCCAGUAAGCAGGGGAAGUCACAUUUGAAAGAAGAUAAAAGUCAUGUUGAUAAUAGAGAAGGUGAAGAAGAUGAAGAAAAUCAGCCCUUAGUGUGAAGAAUGAAGAUCAAGCUCAUAAUUUAUUUGUUCUUUUCUUUCUUUCUUUCUUUCUUUCCUUCGCUUCCUCUCUCUCUCUCUAUCUCUUGGAAUUCGAAGAGAGUGAAAUCUAGGGUUCAAUUUAUUUUUCUUCGGGAGAAAUAAUCUAGGGUUAGGUCAUACAAUAAAACCUGAAAUCGAAGGGAUCUCGAUCUCUGAUUAAACAAAGAGGCAACAAGAAAAUGAGCUUGGAUUCGGUCCCUGCGAACGCGCAUGGAAACCUUGAUGAGCAGAUUAAUCAGCUCAUGCAGUGCAAGCCCUUAUCUGAGCAAGAGGUAAGGAUGUUGUGUGAAAAGGCUAAGGAGAUUUUGAUGGAAGAAAGCAAUGUUCAGCCUGUUAAAAGUCCUGUUACAAUAUGUGGUGAUAUCCAUGGUCAAUUCCAUGAUCUUGCUGAACUUUUUCGAAUUGGAGGAAAGGUAAUUCUCUGAUCUAUGAGUACUUAUUGUAAUAUUUGCUAAGGAAUUAAUCAUUAGAGCUGAUGUUAUUAUUGUUCCUUUCUUUUUUUUCCUUUUAUUAAUUAGCUGUUGCAGGGGUCACCACUCUCUGGGUUUUUCUUCAUUUCAUAAUCACUAGAAAAUUGAUACAUUUUGCUCACUGUGUUUCAUUUGUUGUUGUUCUUUGUCCAAUUGUUUAUAUUCUUCUCUCCCUGUUUCUUUUUAAUUUAUUAUUAUUUUUUAUUAUACAUAGUAUAGUGUGUUGCAACCUCAUUUAUGUUUUCAGUUAAUGGUUCUCUCACAUUGUGAAAGGGACUGUUUUUAAUUGUGAUGUUGUGGACUGUCUAAGGCAAUAACUGGAUAUUCCUUAGCCUGUUGAAUAUCUUUUCAUUUUUCAAUAUAAGAGUACUCUUCAAUAUCAUCAUUUGUGUAUUGCUGUCCUGAUUUCCUCUGUUAGGUCUAGAUCUUAUAUUUGUACUUUUUUUUCCUGUUUCUGUUGGCUCAUCAAAUAAUUUUCAUAAAAAUCCACACUUGAAAUUAUAAUAUUAAUUUCUUGUUUCAUUCUGGUUUGUGGUAGUGUCCAGAUACAAAUUAUUUGUUCAUGGGAGAUUAUGUUGACCGUGGCUAUUACUCAGUUGAAACUGUAACGCUUUUGGUAGCUCUGAAGGUGCGUUAUCCUCAACGAAUUACCAUUCUACGGGGAAAUCAUGAAAGUCGUCAGAUUACUCAAGUUUAUGGGUUCUAUGAUGAAUGCCUACGGAAGUAUGGCAAUGCCAAUGUUUGGAAGAUCUUUACAGAUUUGUUCGACUAUUUUCCACUGACAGCAUUGGUUGAAUCAGAGAUAUUUUGUCUCCAUGGUGGAUUAUCCCCUUCCAUUGAAACCCUUGACAACAUACGUAAUUUUGAUCGUGUUCAAGAAGUUCCCCAUGAGGGUCCGAUGUGUGAUCUUUUGUGGUCUGAUCCUGAUGACCGCUGUGGCUGGGGUAUCUCACCAAGAGGUGCUGGAUAUACUUUUGGCCAAGUAAUAAACUUGCCUUAUUUUCAUUGCUGUUCUCUGUUUCUCCUGGAGCAUGAAGUAUUUUUCGGAAUGUGCUAAUUUUUAUUUUCGUUAGGACAUAUCUGAGCAAUUUAACCAUACAAACAACUUAAAGCUGAUUGCUAGAGCUCACCAGCUGGUUAUGGAAGGAUAUAACUGGGGUCAUGAACAAAAGGUGGUUACUAUAUUUAGUGCACCUAACUAUUGUUAUCGCUGUGGAAACAUGGCAUCCAUAUUGGAAGUUGAUGACUGCAAGGGUCACACUUUCAUUCAGUUUGAGCCUGCUCCAAGGAGGGGAGAGCCAGAUGUUACCCGAAGAACACCUGAUUACUUCCUAUGAUUUAAGCUGGAAGUGAGUCAUGAAUCCCCCUGGCUAGUGCCUCCUAGCUGGUUUACAUAUUGAGGGCUUCUUCAAAUUUAAGAUUUUAAUCGCUAUGGUGGCAGUUGGGUGGUGAAAAUCAUGUAUAAUGGCAGGUGAGGCUUCCUUUAUUUGAUUGUUAUCAUUGAUGAUGCUUUGGUUUCCACAAGAGGAAGCAGUGGGCCUGGCGAGCAAUUGCUGCGUAUGUACCAUUUCCAGCAAACAAUGUGGCAUCUUUCAUCCCAUUUCCUUGAUUUUGUUUUUUUGAUCUUUAUCCUUGUUAAUUUUUUUUUUUUUAAUUUUCUGUAGAAGGGAUGGUUUGAGGAUAUGUAGAGUGACACUGAGUCGACUUAUAAUGGGUGUUUCUAUUUUAUUUUUACUUGUCCUUUCCGUAGUUCUAAUCAAGCAUUCUCGAAUAUCAGCUUCCGUUAUUUUCGUCAUAGUUUUUUUGCUCGCACAUGUUACACCUAAUUUUCUUUCCUUUUUUUUUCUUCCUUCUUUUUUAAUUGAGAAAAGAGAGUUCCCAAUUGAUGCGUCCCACAUUAAUUCUGCAGGGAGGUCUUG
Molecule: unclassified non-coding RNA, 4546 nt
Filed under: Hevea brasiliensis (rubber tree)
Lineage: Eukaryota; Viridiplantae; Streptophyta; Magnoliopsida; Malpighiales; Euphorbiaceae
Source: RNAcentral